Molecule: non-coding RNA, 77 nt
Filed under: Variovorax sp. Root473
Lineage: Bacteria; Pseudomonadati; Pseudomonadota; Betaproteobacteria; Burkholderiales; Comamonadaceae
Also listed under: 1 other name
Description: Xanthine riboswitch aptamer (NMT1 RNA)
Rfam family: Xanthine riboswitch aptamer (NMT1 RNA)
About the family: Later it was reported as a ncRNA that recognised Xanthine.
Source: Rfam by way of RNAcentral
GCGCAGAGUAGAAGCGUUCAGCCUCGCGCAUGUCUUUUUCAUAAGGCAGGCCGACGAAGCAGGAAAUUGCUCUUUCA